This 461-nucleotide ribosomal RNA is filed under the name uncultured bacterium. RNAcentral's name for it is "partial 16S ribosomal RNA". It matches the Rfam family "Bacterial small subunit ribosomal RNA", at positions 29 to 507 of the family's 1533-position model. The record is from RNAcentral.
ACGCACGCUGGCGGCGUGCUUAACACCUGCAAGUCGAGCGGUAAGGCCUUUCGGGGUACACGAGCGGCGAACGGGUGAGUAACACGUGGGUGAUCUGCCCUGCACUUCGGGAUAAGCCUGGGAAACUGGGUCUAAUACCGGAUAUGACCUCCUAUCGCAUGGUGGGUGGUGGAAAGAUUUAUCGGUGCAGGAUGGGCCCGCGGCCUAUCAGCUUGUUGGUGGGGUAAUGGCCUACCAAGGCGACGACGGGUAGCCGACCUGAGAGGGUGACCGGCCACACUGGGACUGAGACACGGCCCAGACUCCUACGGGAGGCAGCAGUGGGGAAUAUUGCACAAUGGGCGAAAGCCUGAUGCAGCGACGCCGCGUGAGGGAUGACGGCCUUCGGGUUGUAAACCUCUUUCAGCAGGGACGAAGCGCAAGUGACGGUACCUGCAGAAGAAGCACCGGCUAACUACGUG